RNAcentral lists this long non-coding RNA (1369 nucleotides) under Callithrix jacchus (white-tufted-ear marmoset). RNAcentral describes it as "lncRNA (ENSCJAG00000072253.1)". The record is from RNAcentral. Lineage: Eukaryota; Metazoa; Chordata; Mammalia; Primates; Cebidae.
GGAAAGUAUGCCUGAAUAAAAACCAGGUUCAUUUUGUAAUGAAAACGAAACAAAACAAAAAUGUUGCUUUGAGGUUACAGUGUCUGUUUUAAACAUCGUUGUUUAUCAAAUAACUCUUCUUCAAGGUCUGAUUCACAUCUGUCUCUUAAAAAAAUUCAUAAUGAUAGAGUCAUGAGUCUCCUAUUAUCUGGCUAUCUUUCCUUACCUAACUGUUCUCAUCUGCCACGAAGCUCCAAUUCUAGCCAGGUAAGCCUGCCCAUUGCUCUGUCUUUGCUUCUGCUCCUGUCCCCUUGUGCUUUGCUAUGGCAAAGAUAGAUAAUGUUCGUUCCAUAGUGUAGGGUUGUUGCUGAGAAGCUCUGCCCAGCCAGGGCCCUCAUUUUCCAGUCCUGCCCUCCCCUGCAUCCGGGUAGGACUAUGUAACUAGUUAUUGCCCGUGGAUUAUGAGCUGAGCUGAUGCGUAUCAUGCCUUGGCCAAGUGGUUAAGAAGUGGUGGAACAUACCCUUUCUUUUCUCUUUUCCCAUCUGCCCACUGGAUGUUGACACACCAGAUGAUCAUGGAAGCCACAUGUGGAAGGUGGUGGAGACUCCCAGCCUACGGCUCUGCAUGAAGCUAUGGAGCAAUCUUCCUUCACCCACACAGCCUACCUUCCACUCUUGCCACCAAGCAGGAACAUCUGUUUUGGAUUUCAUGAUCGUGUCAUUUAGAAGGACCCAGAACUGGAUACCAAUUGUUGUUCUACAUGGCAAUUAUAAAUAGACAAGAAUACCAUCUUCACUCAGACAGCAGUUUGAAGAAAAGGCUGAGCACAGCUCCCUCUGACUUGUUGGUGAACGUUAUCUGGAUAUUUUUGAGAACACGUGCACAUGUUGACUCAGAAAGACCAAACUGACUGUACAUCCAUGAUCCUCGGGGAGCGAAUUGUUCUUAAAAUAAUGUGAAAUACGAAGCAUGCAAGAGGUGAAGAAAGCAGUGAAAAAUACCAUCUGCAAAAUAAGAAUCUUGAAUUGUUGUCUUGUUUAUACUUAAGCCUUCAAUAAAUUACUUAAUUAGCUUCUUCUUGACCCAUUUCUCUCUUAUUUAGUCUGCUUUAAACAAAAAGUCCUGGUAUUUUAGAUAGCACAGUUUAAUACACAUAAAAACACUUUAGCCUAAUGGUUCUUUUAAUGAAAUAUAUGUGAAAACAUCAUCUUAAUAUCAGACUUUAACAUUUGUCCAAUUUUAUUAAUCUCUGUAACUUGUGGAAUAUUUUUCAAUGAUCUGAUUUAAAACAAAAAUAUUGACUGGAAAAAUGAGGAAAAGCAUUUGAGUCUUUCUUUAUCAAAGAAUCAUUUAUUUAUUUAUUUAUUUAUUUAUUUAUUUAUCCCUGGU